Molecule: non-coding RNA, 97 nt
Organism: Nodularia spumigena CCY9414
Lineage: Bacteria; Bacillati; Cyanobacteriota; Cyanophyceae; Nostocales; Nodulariaceae
Source: Rfam
CAUUCAUGCUAGGGGUGCCUGAAAAAUCAGGCUGAGAUCACACCCUUAACACCUGAGUCUGGCUAAUACCAGCGGAGGGAAGCUGUUUAUCGAGGAA